RNAcentral lists this transfer RNA (83 nucleotides) under Schistocephalus solidus. It matches the Rfam family "tRNA". Rfam says of the family: Transfer RNA (tRNA) molecules are approximately 80 nucleotides in length. Their secondary structure includes four short double-helical elements and three loops (D, anti-codon, and T loops). The record is from Rfam by way of RNAcentral. Lineage: Eukaryota; Metazoa; Platyhelminthes; Cestoda; Diphyllobothriidea; Diphyllobothriidae.
GGCCUUGUAGCUCAGAUGGUUAGAGCGUGGCCUGUACUCAAACCUUGCAUUUACUGUCGUGAGUUCGAAUCCCACCGAGGCUG